AGAUACUUAGUCCAAACUCAAGACUAUUGAUUUCGGCUCAAUUAAUUAUGGUGAAAAUCCAUAAGUAUCUU
This 71-nucleotide transfer RNA is filed under the name Mobula japanica (spinetail devil ray). RNAcentral's name for it is "tRNA-Arg". It matches the Rfam family "tRNA". Rfam says of the family: Transfer RNA (tRNA) molecules are approximately 80 nucleotides in length. Their secondary structure includes four short double-helical elements and three loops (D, anti-codon, and T loops). The record is from RNAcentral. Lineage: Eukaryota; Metazoa; Chordata; Chondrichthyes; Myliobatiformes; Myliobatidae. RNAcentral also lists the same sequence under 8 other names.